UACGUAGGGCGCAAGCGUUAUCCGGAAUUAUUGGGCGUAAAGAGCUCGUAGGUGGCUUAGUAAGUCGGGUGUGAAACCUCCAGGCUUAACCUGGAGACGCCAUCCGAUACUGCUAUAGCUUGAGUCCGGUAGGGGAGCGUGGAAUUCCUGGUGUAGCGGUGAAAUGCGCAGAUAUCAGGAGGAACACCAGCGGCGAAGGCGGCGCUCUGGGCCGGUACUGACACUGAGGAGCGAAAGCGUGGGGAGCAAACAGG
This 254-nucleotide ribosomal RNA is filed under the name uncultured bacterium. RNAcentral's name for it is "partial 16S ribosomal RNA". It matches the Rfam family "Bacterial small subunit ribosomal RNA", at positions 524 to 776 of the family's 1533-position model. The record is from RNAcentral.